CUCCUUUCCCUCCUCCUCCCUGAGUAGAGUGAGCACCGUGGACAGAGCUCAGAUGAAAACCCAGGGAGUGAAACUCAUCGUGGCCCCCCGGGGUCCCUCAGAAACUCCACCUGGGCCUUCAACACUGCAUAGACUUGGAGAGCCAGCCAAAGUAUCAGAGGAAACAAAACAAAUGGGAGCUGGCCCAGACGUGAAGAGCGCCUACUGCUCUUCAGAGGAUCCACAUUCGCAAAAACCUUAAGGUACCAAUUCCAGGGGAUCUGAUGACCUCUACUGAUGUCCAUAGGCACCAGUCACCCAUGUGAUGAACAGAGUGAAAAUCCUGGGGAACAUUCAAGCUGCAUGCAAACUGCAACACAGAACAGUUGUGUUCCUGUGGACCACUGAAGAACAGUUUGAGUAAAAUUUAACCAAGGAGGGGCUUGGGAACAGGAACCUGGUGAGGUGCUGCACAGCAUGUUAGAUUCACCCUGGCCAAGGUUCAGAGGUUCAGUCCAGUAUCAUCAAUGUGGGAACAUGGCAGCAUCCAGGCAGGAGGAGAUGAGAGUUCUGCAUCUUCAUCUGAAGGCUGCUCGCAGAAUACUGGCUCCCAGGCAUCUAGGACGUCAACAAGGGUCUUAAAACCCACACCCACAGUGACACACCUACUCCAACAAGGCCACACCUUCUAAUAGUGCUACUCCCUGGGCUGAACCAACAACCAUCACAGGUUCUGUGUUGAUGUCUUUGGCUCAUGUACCACCAAAGGCCAUGCAGAUGUCCCUGAUCUGGGCUGCUGCCUGAUACCACAUUGAUGUCUGAGCCUUGUACUGAGCUGGCCACACCCUUUUCCUAGGCAGCACGUGAGAGCUGGCUGUGGUGGCGUGGGUUCAGGAGAGCUGUCUCUGCCUCUCACCAGCUGCAGCACUCCAGAGAGCUGGCUCAGCCACUUGUCUACUAUGUGGUGGUGUGGGUGAGGAAGAGAUGCCCUCUCCCCCUCUCACCCCUCACCCCUCACUGCCUGAAGCAGGCAGGAGAGCUGUUCCUGGUCCUCACCAGCUGCAGCACUUGAGAGAGCCGACCCUGCAGCUCUCCUGGGCACACAGAAGAACUGGCCCUGGUGGCAGGAACUCAUGUGAGCUGGCUCCGAGGAUAUGAGAGAAGGAGAUCCGGAGCUCACCCUGGUGAUAUGGGUGCAGGAGACCUGGAAGGCUGACUACCCAGGCCCAGAUCCGGGGCUUUGAGUUGGCCCAUCCCAACCCAGCAUCUAUCCCAUCUAUGAACUGAUACAAUGCAUGAAGGGGCCAUUUCUGCAGACCCAAAGGUGUAGGAUCUCCAUGACACAGGGCAACACGGAAUAUCCAAGAAGACUUCCAGUGAGGAUCCAGUAUUGAUAGCAUAGCAGAAGCCAGAGGCCUUGAACCAGACAAAUGACUCAUUGCAAUGAACAUUUGCAAAUAAAGAUGUGUGGACAAAAGGGUGUGCUGUAUGACACACUGUGACACACUGCAGCUUCCAUGACAAGAUUAUGUUUUAAUUAUUUUCUUUGUUGGGGGUGGGGUUGCAAAGGUGGAGGGCAGAUACAGAGGGACAGGGAGUGAGUGGGAUUGGAGUGCAUGGUGUGAAAUUCACAAAGAAUCAGUAAAAAGUUUUGUUGGGUUUUUUUUUUAAAGCAUCCCAGUACGUUUGCCAUGAAAGUCGCUAACACAGAGAAAAUAUUCCUCUUAUGAGAGAUGCUUUAAAUACAACUGCUAAGGCAGCAGUGAGCAUGUUUGCAUAUGCUAAGCAAGCAUGGCCUUUCUCUUUCCCUGCUUCUCUAGGAAUUUCCCAAGGAGCCUCAUUUACAGUAAAUGCCUGUCCUAGCCCCUUUGUGCAAUUCAUGCAGUGUAUGGUUUUACCUUGUCAGAUAGCAGUCCUAAGGAAGGCACCUCAAGGGCCAUCUUAUAAUCACACUUACUGAAAAGGGUGAAAAAGAGAUUAAAAAAAUAAAAUGAAAAUUCUAACUAAUCCCUUGAGAUGUGCUUCAAAAAAACUACCAAAAUCAUAUGCUUGGCUACUGUAUAAAGACACACAGGCUAGUCUCUUAAGGAGUCUACACCCAUACUUGGGUGUGCCUUGAUAUUUUUUCUGAAUACUCUAGUUCUAUUAAAACUUUUGCUUGAAUUUAUAUUAAAAUAGCUUCCUAACUCUGCUGA
Molecule: long non-coding RNA, 2174 nt
Organism: Mus musculus (house mouse)
Lineage: Eukaryota; Metazoa; Chordata; Mammalia; Rodentia; Muridae
Product: predicted gene 14342
Exons: 4
Source: RefSeq, marked validated